GGCAGAGUAGGAGCUUUACGUAAAGUGCUCAGAGAUGGGACGUUGCUUUGAGACGAAAAGUCUGUAAAGACUUGCGGUAAAGCCCCGCGUUCGCUGUU
RNAcentral lists this non-coding RNA (98 nucleotides) under Aminobacterium colombiense. RNAcentral describes it as "THF-I sequence". It matches the Rfam family "THF (Tetrahydrofolate) riboswitch aptamer". From Rfam's summary of the family: THF riboswitch presents a pseudoknot that joins P1-P2 and the loop of P3 and two THF binding. The record is from RNAcentral. RNAcentral also lists the same sequence under 1 other name. Lineage: Bacteria; Thermotogati; Synergistota; Synergistia; Synergistales; Aminobacteriaceae.